ACUAUACGGCGGCGUAUACUACACCGUUGCAGAU
This 34-nucleotide small RNA is filed under the name Sinorhizobium meliloti 2011. Its description in RNAcentral is "putative ncRNA". Lineage: Bacteria; Pseudomonadati; Pseudomonadota; Alphaproteobacteria; Hyphomicrobiales; Rhizobiaceae. The record is from RNAcentral.